RNAcentral lists this RNase P RNA (401 nucleotides) under Paludibacteraceae bacterium. RNAcentral's name for it is "RNase P RNA component class A". It matches the Rfam family "Bacterial RNase P class A". From Rfam's summary of the family: Ribonuclease P (RNase P) is a ubiquitous endoribonuclease, found in archaea, bacteria and eukarya as well as chloroplasts and mitochondria. Its best characterised activity is the generation of mature 5'-ends of tRNAs by cleaving the 5'-leader elements of precursor-tRNAs. The record is from RNAcentral. Lineage: Bacteria; Pseudomonadati; Bacteroidota; Bacteroidia; Bacteroidales; Paludibacteraceae.
AUAGUAGGACGGCUUGUCGCUGCAGCUCUUCGUGGCUGAAGAGGAAAGUCCGGGCAACACAGAGCACCAUACUUCUUAACGGGAAGUGGGCCGUGAGGUUCAAGUCAAUGUAACAGAAAAUAACCGCCUUAUUGUGCAUUAUGCAUUAUGCAUUGUGCAUUGAUGUAGGGUAAGGGUGAAAAGGUGGGGUAAGAGCCUACCGCCAGUGUGGCAACACAUUUGGGUCAGUACAACUUAUGGGUUGAAAGUUCAAGUAAACCAACGUCAUGUUAGGGCUGCUCGCCCGAGUAUCGUUGGAGGGUAGAACGAUAGAGACAUCUGGCGACAGAUGUAGUAGAUAAAUGACAAGCACUAUUUGUUUCCAAAUAGCACAAAACCCGGCUUAUAGUCCUACUAUUAUU